Molecule: ribosomal RNA, 253 nt
Filed under: uncultured bacterium
Lineage: Bacteria
Description: partial 16S ribosomal RNA
Rfam family: Bacterial small subunit ribosomal RNA
Source: RNAcentral
UACGUAGGGUGCGAGCGUUGUCCGGAAUUAUUGGGCGUAAAGGGCUCGUAGGCGGUCUGUCGCGUCGGGAGUGAAAACUCAGGGCUUAACCCUGAGCCUGCUUCCGAUACGGGCAGACUAGAGGUAUGCAGGGGAGAACGGAAUUCCUGGUGUAGCGGUGAAAUGCGCAGAUAUCCGGAAGAACACCGGAGGCGAAGGCGGCUUGCUGGACCUGGUCUGACGCUGAGGCGCGAAAGCGUGGGGAGCGAACAGG